Non-coding RNA from Rattus norvegicus (Norway rat), 4630 nucleotides. The record is from RefSeq and is a predicted model, not a curated record. NCBI's taxonomy places the organism in Eukaryota, Metazoa, Chordata, Mammalia, Rodentia, Muridae.
UGGUCCAAUCUAUUUGGAGUUCUGUAGGCUUCUUGUAUGUCUAUGGGUAUCUCUUUUUUUAGGUUAGGGAAGUUUUCUUCUAUGAUUUUGUUGAAGAUAUUUACUGGUCCUUUGAGCUGGGAGUCUUCACUCUCUUCUAUACCUAUUAUCCUUAGGUUUGAUCUUCUCAUUGAGUCCUGGAUUUCCUGUAUGUUUUGGACCAGUAGCUUUUUCUGUUUUACAUUAUCUUUGACAGUUGAGUCAAUGAUUUCUAUGGAAUCUUCUGCUCCCGAGAUUCUCUCUUCCAUCUCUUGUAUUCUGUUGGUGAAGCUUGUAUCUACAGCUCCUUGUCUCUUCUUUUGGUUUUCUAUGUCCAGGGUUGUUUCCAUGUGUUCUUUCUUGAUUGCUUCUAUUUCCAUUUUUAAUUCCUUCAACUGUUUGAUUGUGUUUUCCUGGAAUUCUUUCAGGGAUUUUUCGAUUCCUCUCUGUAGGCUUCUACUUGUUCUCUAAGGGAGUUCUUUAUGUCUUUCUUGAAGUCCUCCAGCAUCAUGAUCAAAUAUGAUUUUGAAACUAGAUCUUGCUUUUCUGGUGUGUUUGGAUAUUCCGUGUUUGCUUUGGUGGGAGAAUUGGGCUCCGAUGAUGCCAUGUAGUCUUGGUUUCUGUUGCUUGUGUUCCUGCGCUUGCCUCUCGCCAUCAGAUUAUCUCUAGUGUUACUUUGUUCUGCUAUUUCUGACAGUGGGUAGACUGUCCUAUAAGCCUGUGUGUCAGGAGUGCUGUAGACCUGUUUUCCUCUCUUUCAGUCAGUUAUGGGGACAGAGUGUUCUGCUUUCGGGCGUGUAGUUUUCCCUCUCUACAGGUCUUCAGCUGUUCCUGUGGGCCUGUGUCUUGAGUUCACCAGGCACCUUUCUUGCAGCAGAAAAUUUGGUCUUACCUGUGGUCCUGAGGCUCAAGUUCGCUCGUGGGGUGCUGCCCACGGGCUCUCUGCAGCGGCAGCAACCAGGAAGACCUGUGCCGCCCCUUCCGGGAGCUUCAGUGCACCAGGGUUCCAGAUGGUCUUUGGCUUUUUCCUCUGGCGUCCGAGAUGUGUGUGCAGGGAGCAGUCUCUUCUGGUUUCCCAGGCUUGUCUGCCUCUCUGAAGGUUUAGCUCUCCCUCCCAUGGGAUUUGGGUGCAGAGAACUGUUUAUCGGGUCUGUUUCUUUCAGGUUCCAGAGGUGUCUCAGGCAGGGGUCCUGCCGCUCCUGGGCCCUCCCUCACGGGAGCUCAGAGGCCUUAUACAGUUUCCUCUUGGGCCAGGGAUGUGGGCAGGGGUGAGCAGUGUUGGUGGUCUCUUCCGCUCUGUAGCCUCAGGAGUGCCCACCUGAUCAGGCGGUUGGGUCUCUCUCUCACCGGGUCUGGGAGCAGUGAGCUGCUGUGGGCCGGGAUCCGCGGGUGUGGGACCCCAUGUGUUCUUUCUUGAUUGCUUCUAUUUCCAUUUUUAAUUCCUUCAACUGUUUGAUUGUGUUUUCCUGGAAUUCUUUCAGGGAUUUUUGCGAUUCCUCUCUGUAGGCUUCUACUUGUUCUCUAAGGGAGUUCUUUAUGUCUUUCUUGAAGUCCUCCAGCAUCAUGAUCAAAUAUGAUUUUGAAACUAGAUCUUGCUUUUCUGGUGUGUUUGGAUAUUCCGUGUUUGCUUUGGUGGGAGAAUUGGGCUCCGAUGAUGCCAUGUAGUCUUGGUUUCUGUUGCUUGUGUUCCUGCGCUUGCCUCUCGCCAUCAGAUUAUCUCUAGUGUUACUUUGUUCUGCUAUUUCUGACAGUGGGUAGACUGUCCUAUAAGCCUGUGUGUCAGGAGUGCUGUAGACCUGUUUUCCUGUUUUCUUUCAGCCAGUUAUGGGGACAGAGUGUUCUGCUUUCGGGCGUGUAGUUUUUCCUUUCUACAGGUCUUCAGCUGUUCCUGUGGGCCUGUGUCUUGAGUUCACCAGGCAGGUUUCUUGCAGGGGAAAAGUUGGUCCUACCUGUGGUUCCAAGGCUCAAGUUUGCUCGUGGGGUACUGCCUAAGUCCUCUCUGCGGCGGCAGCAACUGGGAAGUUCUGAGCCGCUCUUUUCAGGAGCCUCCGUGCACCAGUGUUCCAGAUGGCGUUUGGUGUUUUCCUCUGGUGUCUGGAUGUGCACAGAGUGCAGUCUCUUCUGGUUUCCCAGGCGUGUCCGCCUCUCAGAAGGUUUAGCUCUCCCUCCCACGGGAUUUGGGUGCAGAGAACUGUUUAUCCGGUCUGUUUCCUUCAGGUUCUGACGGUGUCUCAGGCGCAGGGAUCCUGCCGCUCCUGGGCAGCAUGCUAUUAAGCAAGAAUGCAACCAAACCUCCUUGAUCUACUUGAUUUCUGUAUUAUUGGUAAGUCCUAACAUAUUCUUUAUUGAGUCAUGCUAAUAAAGUGGAAAUAUAUGAGUUUCUACAGAUACUAAAGAUCACCACGUAUUUAAAGUACAAGCAAGACAUUUCUAAACUGUAAAAUACAUGAGUUACCCCAUAAGACCCUUGUAACUUAUGUUUAAGUAUUGGGUUGUUCAACAGCUUCAGAUUCUAGAAGGGACUCAGUUCUUUAAGUUCUUAAAAUAUAAAAUAGUAUAGUGUUUCUUUAAGAAGUUAUAUCUAUGUUAUUGGUUUCCUUUUUAGUGACUUAAGACAAUGUGGCAGGUAGGAUAGUUAAAUGCAUUGUUUUCUGUCUCUUUCUUUUUCCCAGGGUUGGGGGUGAAAUCCAGGGCUUUAUAUAUGCUUGGAUGUGCUGUAUGGAUUAGCUACACCCCUCCAGCCAGUUUUAAUCAGUGUGGCACCCAGCUGAAUUCUCAGUACUUAGAAGUACUAGGGAAGCUGAGGCAGGUAGAUCAAUUGAGCGCAUAAAUUGGAGCCUAGACAACACAGUGAGAUCUUGUUUCAAAGUUUAGAACAAAAUGAGAUUGGAAUAUAUAUAUAUAUAUACACAUACACAUGCGCGCGCACACACACACACACACACACACACACACAUAUAUAUAUAUAUAUAUAUAUAUAUAUAUAUAUAUAUAUAUAUAUAUGCUGGGAAUUGAACUCAGGUCCUCUGGAAGAGUACCCAGUGCUCUUAACCACUGAGCUGUCUCUCCCGCUCCCAUAUUCCAACUUUUUUUUUUCCUAUUCUUUUUUUUUUUUCGGAGCUGGGGAUCGAACCCAGGGCCUUAAGCGCUCUACCACUGAGCCAAAUCCCCAACCCAUAUUCCAACUUUUUAAAGAAAAAAAUUCCAUAUGAUUUCUUUAAAAAAUUUCUUUAAAGAUUAAUUUUAUGUGUAGGAGUGUUUUAUCUACAUCUCUGUAUAUGCAACAUGUGUGUGCUUGGUAUCCAUUAAGAUCAGAAGAUGGUAUCCUGGUGUUAAAGGUGGUUAUAAAUCACCUAUGUGGAUUCUGGGAACUGAACCUUGGCCUUGCAAGAGCAAUAAGUACUUUUGCCACUGAGCUGUCUCUUCAGGCCCUCCAUAUGGUUGUUUCUCUCUAGUAUUAGAAUUCUUGGGGGUAGCUGACCUGGGUCUUAGGUGAUUGAUGCCAAUGCUUCUGAACAGUUCCUGUGAGGUAAAUAGUACAGAGCAGUAGAUGGAUUCUAGCACAGCGAGUCAGUGACUUCCUUACAGAGUGCUUCUUGAUUUGCUUACCUGACACAAAAAUUACUUACCCAAAGGCUGAUUUUUCCCCUACAAUUCAAUCCAGUGUUUUGUUUCUAUAACCUAGAAUUUGUUCCUUUGCCCUACUCCCUCAAAACAAAAAGCAAAAAAACCAAACCAACAAUCUGGCAAGACAUUCCCAAUCAACAGUAGCUUUCUUUCAUCAGGAUCCAAGUUUGGGGCUAAUAGUGAACAUGGAAACAGAUGAAAUAGUAUUGUUAGAAAGCUAGAAAGCAGGAACCUGUGCUGAUUAGCAGACUAAGGCUCUACUAUUUGUCUAUUUACAAAGGAUCUUAUUGUUGGGAGUAACGAAACGGCCCAGCAGCUAAGAGCCUGUGCUACUCCUCCAGUGGUCCUCAGUUUGUUUCCCAGCUUUACUUGGUGACUGACAACCUUCAACAACUAUUUCCACGGAUCCAGCACCUUCUUCUAGGCUCACCAGACCCUGCUUGAAUCUGGUACAUAAACAUACAUGUAGGCAAAACACUAUUAAUACACAUAGCACCAAUCAAAUGUUAAAAAAUUUAAAAACUAAGCCCAUGUUACCGUGUUAAUUGCAUUGUUGUAAUUUUCACAUUAAGAUGGAGGAGACAGCUCACUAGAUAAACUGCUUGCCGAGUCAGCAUGAGGACCUAGAUUGAGAUCCUGAGUAUUUAUGUUAAAAAACAAAGUGCAGUUGUAUGUGCCUCUAAUCCCAGAACCAAGGGCGUAAAAGAGAAGAAGCUCUCUGAUAGCUGCUAGCCAACAAUUUAAGUUGAUAGAAGAAGCUGAGUUUCAGUGAGAAACCCUGUGUCAAAAAUUAAGGUGGAGGGCUAGAGCGAUGGCUCAAGAGUUAGAUAGAGUACUUAUUCUUGUUGAGGAUAUAGGAUUAGUUCCCAGUAUCACAUGAUGACUCAGUUAUCCAUAACUCCAGUCCAUGGAUUCAACAUUCUCUUCUGACCUCCACUAUGCACACACAUGGUACACACACACACACACACACACACACACACAC